Ipomoea nil (Japanese morning glory) is the source of this 124-nucleotide small nucleolar RNA. It matches the Rfam family "Small nucleolar RNA SNORD14". From Rfam's summary of the family: U14 small nucleolar RNA (U14 snoRNA) is required for early cleavages of eukaryotic precursor rRNAs. The record is from Rfam. NCBI's taxonomy places the organism in Eukaryota, Viridiplantae, Streptophyta, Magnoliopsida, Solanales, Convolvulaceae.
UGUUGAUGAUGAUAAAAUCUAAGGCUUGUUUCUCAAAACAUUUGCAGUGGCCGCCUAUGUGCUUUCGUCUUCGCCGGGUUUGAGAGCUUGUGUUGCUUCUAUCCUUCCUUGGAUGUCUGAAACA